Long non-coding RNA from Xenia sp. Carnegie-2017, 584 nucleotides. RefSeq lists it as uncharacterized. NCBI's taxonomy places the organism in Eukaryota, Metazoa, Cnidaria, Anthozoa, Malacalcyonacea, Xeniidae. The transcript is spliced from 3 exons. The record is from RefSeq and is a predicted model, not a curated record.
CAAGGCCUUUGUUGCUUCUCUGAGAAAUGAUACAGAAUAUUGUCAGGUGUACGACCUGGCUGUUGAGAAAGUGGGACCACCAGUAACCAGGGUGUUUAAGAUGUGGAAAGGUGAAGUGCCCUCAGAAAAGAUAAAUCUUCUAAAGGAGGUUUAUGGUGAUAUGUUUGAAAUACCAAUGCUAUUCCAUCUUCAAUCUAGUAUUCCAGAAGUUGUAACACUGUUAAAGAUAAAUGGGGUUUUGUCAAUUACAAGUGCUUCAGUUGAGAGGUCAUUUUCUUGUUUGAAGAGGGUAAAAAAUUAUAGAAAUACUAUGAGCCAAGGACGUUUUAGUUCUCUUUGCAGGAUUUCCAUUCACAAAGACAUACUGUUAGAGAAAGAAGACGCCAACACAUUGCAUGAUGAGGUAGUAAAGAAGUUCAUUGAAAAACCACGAAGACUUGCUUUCUUAUACAAAUAGGUAUUCAUAUAUGGCUGAUAGCAAGCUGAUGAUGUCUUUCGUCCAUGGCAUGUAAGAAUUUUUCCGGGAACUUUUUAAUGCAAGCAAUGAUGAUUGUCAUUUCAGCACGACAAUGAACGGCAUCACA